RNAcentral lists this long non-coding RNA (227 nucleotides) under Brassica napus (rape). RNAcentral describes it as "long non-coding RNA (BNAP_LNC019613)". The record is from RNAcentral. Lineage: Eukaryota; Viridiplantae; Streptophyta; Magnoliopsida; Brassicales; Brassicaceae.
AUGGGGAAGGACUAUGAAGUUCUUGUUACUUUGGCUGCUGUAUCAGAUUGGUCGAUCUCCGAGCUUGAUCUCCCUCAAGUUUCUGAAGAUUCGGUGGAUCAAGCCGGAGGGUCGUCUGUUCCCGAUGGAGUCGGUUCUAGUUAAUCUUUUCUGUUUCUAUGUCUUUUUUUGUUCAUGAUUUUCGUUUUCCGUGAUUUUUGAUCGCGAAGUUUCGAUUAGUUCUGAUG